RNAcentral lists this ribosomal RNA (500 nucleotides) under uncultured Glomeromycotina. RNAcentral's name for it is "partial small subunit ribosomal RNA". It matches the Rfam family "Eukaryotic small subunit ribosomal RNA", at positions 591 to 1092 of the family's 1831-position model. The record is from RNAcentral. Lineage: Eukaryota; Fungi; Glomeromycota.
CCAAUAGCGUAUAUUAAAGUUGUUGCAGUUAAAAAGCUCGUAGUUGAAUUUCGGGGUUAGUAGGUUGGUCAUGCCUCUGGUAUGUACUGGUCUCACUGAUUCCUCCUUCCUGAUGAGCCGUAAUGCCAUUAACUUGGUGUUGCGGGGAAUUUGGACUGUUACUUUGAAAAAAUUAGAGUGUUUAAAGCAAGCUAACGCUUGAAUACAUUAGCAUGGAAUAAUGAAAUAGGACGUUCGAUCCUAUUUUGUUGGUUUCUAGGAUUGACGUAAUGAUUAAUAGGGAUAGUUGGGGGCAUUAGUAUUCAAUUGUCAGAGGUGAAAUUCUUGGAUUUAUUGAAGACUAACUACUGCGAAAGCAUUUGCCAAGGAUGUUUUCAUUAAUCAAGAAUGAAAGUUAGGGGAUCGAAGACGAUCAGAUACCGUCGUAGUCUUAACCAUAAACUAUGCCGACUAGGGAUCGGAUGAUGUUAAUUUUUUAAUGACUCAUUCGGCGCCUUACG